Molecule: small nucleolar RNA, 136 nt
Organism: Astyanax mexicanus (Mexican tetra)
Lineage: Eukaryota; Metazoa; Chordata; Actinopteri; Characiformes; Acestrorhamphidae
Source: Ensembl
UGGCAUCCUCUGAUAGACCUUUGGCAUUUCUUUGUGGCCUCUAGGUUUGCACUUGGAUGCGACAGCAAUUCUCCUCGUGCUUUCUAGCUGUCUUGUAUGUGAGUGUCAGUAUCAGAUUGAAGAGGGGAGAACAGGC